Molecule: microRNA precursor, 82 nt
Filed under: Ictalurus punctatus (channel catfish)
Lineage: Eukaryota; Metazoa; Chordata; Actinopteri; Siluriformes; Ictaluridae
Description: microRNA ipu-mir-7564 precursor
Rfam family: mir-7563 microRNA precursor family
Source: miRBase by way of RNAcentral
ACCGCGUACUUACCUACUGUAUAGUAGCUGAUAUACAUGUAUUUUGUCUACUAUAGGCCUAUAGUAGGCGAGUACACGGUUU